UACGGGGGGGGCAAGCGUUGUUCGGAAUUACUGGGCGUAAAGGGCGCGUAGGCGGCCUUAUAAGUCAUUUGUGAAAGCUCUGGGCUCAACCCAGGAAUUGCAAGUGAUACUGUAAGGCUUGAGUUCGGUAGAGGAGGGCGGAAUUCCUGGUGUAGCGGUGAAAUGCGCAGAUAUCAGGAAGAACACCCGUGGCUAAGGCGGUUCUCUAGUACGGUACUGACGCUGAGACGCGAAAGCGUGGGGAGCGAACAGG
This 253-nucleotide ribosomal RNA is filed under the name uncultured bacterium. RNAcentral's name for it is "partial 16S ribosomal RNA". It matches the Rfam family "Bacterial small subunit ribosomal RNA", at positions 524 to 776 of the family's 1533-position model. The record is from RNAcentral.